This 253-nucleotide ribosomal RNA is filed under the name uncultured bacterium. RNAcentral describes it as "partial 16S ribosomal RNA". It matches the Rfam family "Bacterial small subunit ribosomal RNA", at positions 524 to 776 of the family's 1533-position model. The record is from RNAcentral.
UACGAAGGGUGCUAGCGUUGUUCGGAAUCACUGGGCGUAAAGCGCACGUAGGCGGAUGUGUCAGUCAGGGGUGAAAUCCCGGAGCUCAACUUCGGAACUGCCUUUGAUACAGCACGUCUUGAGUCCGAUAGAGGUGGGUGGAAUUCCUAGUGUAGAGGUGAAAUGCGUAGAUAUUAGGAAGAACACCGGUGGCGAAGGCGGCCCACUGGAUCGGUACUGACGCUGAGGUGCGAAAGCGUGGGGAGCAAACAGG